RNAcentral lists this ribosomal RNA (438 nucleotides) under uncultured Gammaproteobacteria bacterium. RNAcentral's name for it is "bacterial SSU rRNA". It matches the Rfam family "Bacterial small subunit ribosomal RNA", at positions 459 to 896 of the family's 1533-position model. The record is from RNAcentral. Lineage: Bacteria; Pseudomonadati; Pseudomonadota; Gammaproteobacteria.
CUUGCUAGCUGUGACGUUACUCGCAGAAGAAGCACCGGCUAAUUUAGUGCCAGCAGCCGCGGUAAUACUAAAGGUGCAAGCGUUAAUCGGAAUUACUGGGCGUAAAGCGCGCGUAGGUGGUUUGUUAAGUUGGAUGUGAAAGCCCAGGGCUCAACCUUGGAACUGCAUUCAAAACUGACUCACUAGAGUACGAGAGAGGUUUGUGGAAUUUCCUGUGUAGCGGUGAAAUGCGUAGAGAUGGGAAGGAACACCAGUGGCGAAGGCGACUGACUGGCUCGAUACUGACACUGAGGUGCGAAAGCGUGGGGAGCAAACNGGAUUAGAUACCCCGGUAGUCCACGCCGUAAACGAUGUCUACUAGCCGUUGGAGGACCUGAUCCUUUAGUGGCGCAGCUAACGCGAUAAGUAGACCGCCUGGGGAGUACGGUCGCAAGAUUA